RNAcentral lists this ribosomal RNA (315 nucleotides) under uncultured Bacteroidales bacterium. RNAcentral describes it as "partial 16S ribosomal RNA". The record is from RNAcentral. Lineage: Bacteria; Pseudomonadati; Bacteroidota; Bacteroidia; Bacteroidales.
GGAGUCUGGGCCGUGUCUCAGUCCCAGUGUGGGGGAUCUUCCUCUCAGAACCCCUAGACAUCGUCGGCACGGUGGGCCGUUACCCCGCCGUCUACCUAAUGCCCCGCGAGCCCAUCCGCAACCAUCGGAAUUUUCAAUAUCGUAUCAUGCGGUACAAUAUGUUAUGGGAUAUUAGACACCGUUUCCAGCGCUUAUCCCCCAGUUGCGGGCAAGUUGCUCACGUGUUACGCACCCUUCCGCCGGUCGCCGCCAUCGUAUUGCUACGACGCGCUGCCCCUCGACUUGCAUGUGUUAAGCCUGCCGCUAGCGUUCAUC